Molecule: non-coding RNA, 570 nt
Organism: Sinocyclocheilus rhinocerous
Lineage: Eukaryota; Metazoa; Chordata; Actinopteri; Cypriniformes; Cyprinidae
Source: the annotation of a RefSeq genome assembly
AUGGCACUGUGGAAAAGUGCCAUUGUGAUCGUAGUUUUGUAUAUCUGGGGAUGUAAAUCCCAAGACAAAGUUGAUCAGCAUACAAGGAUUCAAUCUGGUUUUGAAGGUGCUACUGUAACGAUCGACUGUACAUAUCAGACUGCUUUCACAAACCCGACUCUCUUCUGGUACCAGCAGAAAGUCAGUGGAAUCCCCAAGUACAUGCUAAAUAAAUAUUCUAAAUCUGGAAACAGUGAGGAAGAAUUCAAGGAGAGAUUUCAUGCGAAUCUCAGCAAAACUUCAGUUCCACUGACAAUCCAGGAUGUGCGUGUGUCUGACUCUGCUGUGUACUACUGUGCUCUGCAGCCCACAAGAGCAAAUGACUUUCCUAAAUACAUCCUGCGGAGAAACAAAUAUGGAGGAGAAAAUGAUGUUCAGUUCCAGGAGAGAUUUCACUCUGAAGUGUCAUCAAAUUCAGUUCCACUGACAAUCAAGAAUCUGCGUGUGUCUGACUCUGCUGUGUACUACUGUGCUCUGAAGCCCACAGUGAGAAAACUCAAGUCAAACCACAUACAAAAACACAUGAGCUGA